GACGAACGCUGGCGGCGUGCCUAAUACAUGCAAGUCGAGCGGAACUUAGAAAGCUUGCUUUCUAAGUUUAGCGGCGGACGGGUGAGUAACACGUGGGCAACCUGCCUAUAAGACUGGGAUAACUUCGGGAAACCGGAGCUAAUACCGGAUAAUAUAAAAGAUCACAUGGUCUUUUAUUGAAAGAUGGCUUCGGCUAUCACUUAUAGAUGGGCCCGCGGCGCAUUAGCUAGUUGGUGAGGUAAUGGCUCACCAAGGCGACGAUGCGUAGCCGACCUGAGAGGGUGAUCGGCCACACUGGGACUGAGACACGGCCCAGACUCCUACGGGAGGCAGCAGUAGGGAAUCUUCCGCAAUGGACGAAAGUCUGACGGAGCAACGCCGCGUGAACGAUGAAGGUUUUCGGAUCGUAAAGUUCUGUUGUUAGGGAAGAACAAGUACCGUUCGAAUAGGGCGGUACCUUGACGGUACCUAACGAGGAAGCCCCGGCUAACUACGUG
This 497-nucleotide ribosomal RNA is filed under the name uncultured bacterium. RNAcentral's name for it is "bacterial SSU rRNA". It matches the Rfam family "Bacterial small subunit ribosomal RNA", at positions 28 to 507 of the family's 1533-position model. The record is from RNAcentral.